Long non-coding RNA from Ornithorhynchus anatinus (platypus), 278 nucleotides. RefSeq lists it as uncharacterized. The transcript has 3 exons. Lineage: Eukaryota; Metazoa; Chordata; Mammalia; Monotremata; Ornithorhynchidae. The record is from RefSeq and is a predicted model, not a curated record.
GAUACAGGGUGCUCUCUUUUGGUAAAAAAAAAAUUUUUUCAAGCUUUUCAGGCAAGAGCAGUGGCUCUUGAGCAGUCUUUGCAGGAAGUCAGUGAGCGAUACAAAAAUGAAAAGCAGAAGAGAAAAAUGCUUCACAACAAUUUGGUGGAGCUAAAAGGUAAUAUCCGAGUACACUGCAGGAUCCGGCCUUUACUGCCUUCUGACACUCCAUCUGACGACUCAACCUCAAGGGAAAGGAUCCAUUUGGAAGAGGUGGUACACGCUCCUGAUGAUGUGAG